AAUCUAUUUGAUGGUAGUUUCGUCCAAUGUUUAACUAACUAUAAAGCCGUCCUAGACAUUAUACUCGCAAAGAAAUCAUCAUUGUUGCAAUGUGCUAUCAUGUGUGAUACGCUACUCUCUUGCAUUGGAUAUAAUUAUCAUUAUCAAAGUUUCAGCUGUGAACUAGUAACUAUCAGUCCUGGCCAUGGUGUUGUUACAGAGAUUCAGAAGAAACAGGAAGACGGUUGGGAAUUUUAUUCCACAUGUUACAGAAACAAUCGUGCAUGUAUUUGGUGUUACUUUUGAUGUCAUGCUUCGCAAUCUAUAAGUUUGGUGUUACUUCUAUUAAAUGGCUACUACUUUUUUCAA
This is a long non-coding RNA of Mytilus trossulus (common blue mussel), 348 nucleotides long. RefSeq lists it as uncharacterized. The transcript has 2 exons. NCBI's taxonomy places the organism in Eukaryota, Metazoa, Mollusca, Bivalvia, Mytilida, Mytilidae. The record is from RefSeq and is a predicted model, not a curated record.